AUUUGUUUCUCUUUGUUUUGGUUUAGUUUUAGAAGCUUGGUCUCUUAGUAUAAAGGAGACUGCUUGGACCAAACUGCUACAUUUGAUAGAUUAAGUAGUGCAUGUAGUCAGUUGCUGUUGCUAUGUGGGCUAUGAGACACUCAACUCUUGGAAACCAAGUAAUAACACCAGAUUACGCCCACCAGUUCCUUACAAAGCACUCAGUCUAAUGUAGCAACUCGCUACGUCUACCAAAGUAUCAGAGGCAGCAGGAAAACAGUUUGAUAUUCUGGGUGGAAAGGACUCUGAACAAAGACUGUGUUUGAAGUGGUUUAAUCUAGGAAGCCUUCACAGAGGGAGACAGGAAGAGCCUACCGGAGCCUCAAGGAUGCCUAUCAAAGGCCGGAGGGAAGAAGUGAUCCUCCUGAGGGGUAAAGGGAAGAAUACUACCUCACAAAAUAUGGAAGCAGCAGUAGAGAAAGCUGUGUACCAGACGGUUGGUGAACAGGGACACCUACUCUGCCAACACCAUGAUCAGCUGGCGCAACUGAGUGCGACUAUGGAUGAGGUCUUCCACCACCCGAGAGGAUUCACUUGCAAAUAGCGGAGGGCCUUCUACCAGGAGUCGUCCCAGCGAACCAGUCCCCCAGCCUACCCAGCAGUCCGCCCAGGUCAGUGAUGCCCAACUAUCUCACAGACAUAUGACGGGACUCCAUCCAAAUGUCGUGGCUUCCUACUCCAGUGCUCGCUCUGUCGCUCAUCAGACUUGAGGCCCCACCACCGAGAGGUCCUUGGUUUCCCCGGUCAUUUCCCUGCUGACUGGGUGAGCGUUGGAGUGGGCUGUGGCAGUUUGAGAGAGGGGAGAAGAGGAGUUGGGUUCCUAUGAGUGGUUCAUGUCUCUGUUCUCUGGGGGGGUCAAACACCUCUCCAUGACAUCGCUGGAGACAUUGUGUGUCCCUUUUGCGGGCAGGAGGGGCUCCAGUGGUGUCUGGUGCGUCCCAAGCCGAAGUCCACUAGGGCAGAGGGACAGCCAGGCCUAAUCGCCUAUCUCUACCCGACUUCAUUAAUGCUCUUGUGGCUGAAUGGAAGCAAGUCCCCGCAGCAAUGUUCCAACAUCUAGGGGAAAGCCUUCCCAGAAGAGUGGAGGAUGUUAUAGCAGCAAAGAGGUACCAACUGCCAAGUCAUAUGUUUGACGAGCAGGCGUGAAAUCACACCUCUUAAUUAGAAAGAGGAGCCGACUGAAGAUUGCAACAAAAUAUUUAUUGUUACUCCCAUCUAUCACAUGCAUUUAUGUUCGCUUUUCCAAGAGUUUUACAACUGGCAGUUAUGGUGUUCAUAGCAGUCAAACACAUGGAAUAAACCGACACAACACUUAAACUACAAUAACAUUCUGAGUAACGAUUACAGAUUUUUUUUCUUGCUAUGACCGUGAUAUGUUGUUUAUCUACCUUAGUUGAAUGCACAGACUGUAAGUCACUCUGGAGAAGAGCUUCUGCUGAAUGACCUAAAUGUAAAAACAAAACACUUUCAAAGCAUGCUGGGUAUUACUCUAAUAAGCUCUGCCCCCAAACAAGUCCAAAUUUGGCCGGUGCGGACCAGAUCCAAAUCUGAACGAGUCAUAGACGUUUAGGCUAUGUUUCACAAGUUUGAACAUCACAGUACAACACAAGAGUACAGUACGGUACAGGACAGUAGUGAUUUAUUCAGUAUUUUUUUUAAAUUAUAUUUAUUUCACCUUUAUUUAACCAGGUAGGCAAGUUGAGAACAAGUUCUCAUUUACAAUUACGACCUGGCCAAGAUAAAGCAAAGCAGUUCGACACAUACAACAACAGAGUUACACAUGGAGUAAAACACACAUACAGUCAAUAAUACAGUAGAAAAAUAAGUCUAUAUACAAUGUGAGCAAAUGAGGUGAGAUAAGGGAGGUAAAGGCAAAAAAGGCCAUGGUGGCAAAGUAAAUACAAUAUAGCAAGUAAAACAGUGGAAUGGUAGAUUUGUAGUGGAAGAAAGUGCAAAGUAGAAAUAGAAAUAAUGGGGUGCAAAGGAGCUAAAUAAAUACAGUAGGGGAAGAGGUAGUUGUUUUGGCUAAACGAUAGAUGGGCUAUGUACAGGUGCAGUGAUCUGUGAGCUGCUCUGACAGCUGGUGCUUAAAGCUAAGUACAGUAGAGUACAGUAGUUUAAUUCAGUACAGUAGGGUACAAUACAGAACACUUUACUUUACUGUACUCUAGUGUGCUCUACUGUAUUUUACUGUACUAUACACUUCUGUACUGUGUGCUGUACUCUGCUGUGCUCAAGGCUGGUCCGGACCAAAUCUGAACCAAUUAGAGACGUCUAUUUUUGGGCUAAAUCCAGGUCGGUCCGGACUGCACCAAUAAAAUACCAAAAGAAGUCACCUGAAGUCAAAUGCUAGGUGGGAUGUUUGUGAUUAUUCACUAAUGUCAGACAAAAACAAAACACAGUACAGUCAUAACAUAAAUGUAUUCAAAAGACAUCUAGGUCAUUACACGAAAUGAGUGCCUUUUGCAUCCCUUUCAUAUUUCAAAUUGAAAUUGUGCCCCAAUAUUGUAUUUUAAAAGCCUGCUAUAUUAAAGUGCCAUUUAAUAUAGACCACAUGGAGAAUUCAGUCAAUCUGAUUUUUAAUAGGAAUCUUGAUAUGUCCCUCCGGCACCCUCUGUGACUUCUAUGAAGAUUUUAACCCACUUAAGCCCUAUAUUUCUUCAAGUUUUCACCAUCACUGUAAAACCUUAGUUCUUUUUUUGCUUUGAAAAAGUCAUUUCGGAAGAUUCGUAUUUAUUUUAUGUGAUUAGUGAUAUAUUUACGUCUGUCCCUCACUUUAAGGUCAACCCUGUAACGUGAACUGAACUCUUGUCUUAAUAUGGUGAAAAUAUUCCAUUAAAAAAAAUCUAAAACAUUUAACAUCUAAUUAAUUAAAACAUGGUGUAAAAGCAGGUGAGCUGGCUGUAUUCUUUUAUGCCAUUUCCUUGGUUUUUUGGGGUGUAAAACUGAGCCGGUCGACCAUAACACGUCAACCCUGUUACACAUAGAUAAAAAUGUUUAAACAAUUUAAACAUUUUUGUGAAGCUUGCAUUCAAUUGCCACUCACUGUUGCACACAACAAGGUUAUUUAUAGCUGAUUUAAGGUUAAAUUGUCAACCCUGUUAUGGUCAACUCUGUUACUUUAUUUGGCACUUAAUAGACACUUAGUAAUUUUUUGGGGGUUAAAAUGAGGUUAAAUCAAAAAAAAUGUAUGACCAAGUUAGACUUCUCGAAAGGUACCAAACUGAUGGAAUGACCCGUCUAUGUAACACAAGUUUGGACAGUACAGUACAGAGUUUAAUUCAACAGAGUACAGUUUUAUUCAGUUGUGUACAGCACAUUAGAGUACAAUAGACUACAGUUGAGUUUAAUUCAGUAGAGUAUAGUAGGAUACAAUACAGUACAUUAUACUGUACUCUACCCUACUGUGCUGUACUCUACUCUACUAUACUGAACUAUACUCUAAUUUACUAUACUGUAUCCUACUUUGCUCUACUGUACUGAACUAUACUAUACUUUUCUUUUCUGUACUGUAUGCUGUGUUUUACAAACUUGUGAAACUUGGACUUCUAUUCGUUCAGAUUUGGUCCGGUCCGACCUGCUUGUCAAAACGGACACACACGCAUACACACACACAGAUGCACGCACACAGACAGACAUACGCACACACAAACAUACCUGUUCCUAUUUGAAAGAGCGCUCUUUGUUUUCAACAAAAAAGUGUUGACUUUACUUUUUUUACUUUAUCAAAAUAUUUUAUUUUCAUCCAAAUAUCAGAUGGUUACUGUUUGUUUUAUUAAGCAUUAACAUGAUGAUUUGAGUGGAG
RNAcentral lists this long non-coding RNA (3844 nucleotides) under Salmo salar (Atlantic salmon). Its description in RNAcentral is "lncRNA (ENSSSAG00000099907.1, ENSSSAG00000110527.1)". The record is from RNAcentral. Lineage: Eukaryota; Metazoa; Chordata; Actinopteri; Salmoniformes; Salmonidae.